GACGCUGUGGCAUAGUAGGUAAAGCCACUGCCUGCAGUGCCAGUAUCCCACAGAGACCCUGGUUCAAGUCCUGGCUGCUUCA
This 82-nucleotide transfer RNA is filed under the name Oryctolagus cuniculus (rabbit). It matches the Rfam family "tRNA". From Rfam's summary of the family: Transfer RNA (tRNA) molecules are approximately 80 nucleotides in length. Their secondary structure includes four short double-helical elements and three loops (D, anti-codon, and T loops). Lineage: Eukaryota; Metazoa; Chordata; Mammalia; Lagomorpha; Leporidae. The record is from Rfam by way of RNAcentral.